UCCGUGUUAACCACGGCAGUCUCUUUAGAGAGCCCAACUGAAUGCUGGCAACUAAAGACAAGGGUUGCGCUCGUUGCGGGACUUAACCCAACAUGUCACCACACGAGCUGACGACAGCCAUGCAGCACCUGUCACUCUGUCUCCUUGCGGAGAAGAUCCCAUCUCUGGGACUGUCAGAGGAUGUCAAACCCAGGUAAGGUUUUUCGCGUUGCUUCGAAUUAAACCACAUGAUCCACCGCUUGUGCGGGCCCCCGUCAAUUCCUUUGAGUUUUAGUCUUGCGACCGUACUUCCCAGGCGGGAUACUUAUUGCGUUAGCUCCGACUCGGCGGGGGUCAAGACCCACCAAGUCUAGUAUCCAUCGUUUACGGCGUGGACUAC
Molecule: unclassified non-coding RNA, 379 nt
Filed under: uncultured bacterium
Lineage: Bacteria
Description: contains 16S-23S intergenic spacer region
Source: RNAcentral